Molecule: ribosomal RNA, 253 nt
Filed under: uncultured bacterium
Lineage: Bacteria
Description: partial 16S ribosomal RNA
Rfam family: Bacterial small subunit ribosomal RNA
Source: RNAcentral
UACAGAGGUCUCAAGCGUUGUUCGGAUUCAUUGGGCGUAAAGGGUGCGUAGGCGGCGCGGUAAGUCGGGUGUGAAAUUUCGAGGCUUAACUUCGAAACUGCAUUCGAUACUGCCGUGCUUGAGGACUGGAGAGGAGACUGGAAUUUACGGUGUAGCGGUGAAAUGCGUAGAUAUCAAGAGGAACACCUGAGGUGAAGACGGGUUGCUGGGCCAACACUGACGCUGAUGCGCGAAAGCCAGGGGAGCAAACGGG